GAUGAACGCUGGCGGCGUGCCUAAUACAUGCAAGUCGAGCGAACGGACGAGAAGCUUGCUUCUCUGAUGUUAGCGGCGGCGGGGUGAUAAACCCGUGGAAACCUACCUUUAAAGAUGGGGAAAAUUCGGGAAACCGGGACCAAAACCGGGAUAAUAUUUUGACCCCCAGGGUUCAAAGGUAAAAGACGGCUUUGUGGCACUUAUUAGAGGGUUCCCAGCUGCAUUAGUUAGUUGGUAAGUUAACGGCUUACCAAGGCAACGAUGCAUAGCCGACCUGAGAGGGUGAUCGGCCACACUGGAACUGAGACACGGUCCAGACUCCUACGGGAGGCAGCAGUAGGGAAUCUUCCGCAAUGGGCGAAAGCCUGACGGAGCAACGCCGCGUGAGUGAUGAAGGUCUUCGGAUCGUAAAACUCUGUUAUUAGGGAAGAACAUAUGUGUAAGUAACUGUGCACAUCUUGACGGUACCUAACCAGAAAGCCACGGCUAACUACGUG
This 497-nucleotide ribosomal RNA is filed under the name uncultured bacterium. RNAcentral describes it as "partial 16S ribosomal RNA". It matches the Rfam family "Bacterial small subunit ribosomal RNA", at positions 28 to 507 of the family's 1533-position model. The record is from RNAcentral.